RNAcentral lists this ribosomal RNA (425 nucleotides) under uncultured bacterium. RNAcentral describes it as "partial 16S ribosomal RNA". It matches the Rfam family "Bacterial small subunit ribosomal RNA", at positions 354 to 796 of the family's 1533-position model. The record is from RNAcentral.
GUGGGGAAUCUUGCGCAAUGGGCGAAAGCCUGACGCAGCCAUGCAGCGUGAAUGAUGAAGGUCUUAGGAUUGUAAAAUUCUUUCACCGGGGACGAUAAUGACGGUACCCGGAGAAGAAGCCCCGGCUAACUUCGUGCCAGCAGCCGCGGUAAUACGAAGGGGGCUAGCGUUGCUCGGAAUUACUGGGCGUAAAGGGCGCGUAGGCGGACAGCUUAGUCAGAGGUGAAAGCCCAGGGCUCAACCUUGGAAUUGCCUUUGAUACUGGCUGUCUUGAGUUUGGGAGAGGUGAGUGGAACUCCGAGUGUAGAGGUGAAAUUCGUAGAUAUUCGGAAGAACACCAGUGGCGAAGGCGACUCACUGGCCCAAUACUGACGCUGAGGCGCGAAAGCGUGGGGAGCAAACAGGAUUAGAUACCCCUGUAGUCC